This 429-nucleotide ribosomal RNA is filed under the name Bacillota bacterium. Its description in RNAcentral is "Firmicutes bacterium partial 16S ribosomal RNA". It matches the Rfam family "Bacterial small subunit ribosomal RNA", at positions 355 to 776 of the family's 1533-position model. Lineage: Bacteria; Bacillati; Bacillota. The record is from RNAcentral.
UAGGGAAUCUUCGGCAAUGGACGGAAGUCUGACCGAGCAACGCCGCGUGUGUGAAGAAGGUUUUCGGAUCGUAAAGCUCUGUUGUUAGAGAAGAACGUUGGUAGGAGCGGAAAAUCUACCAAGUGACGGUAACUAACCAGAAAGGGACGGCUAACUACGUGCCAGCAGCUGCGGUAAUACGUAGGUCCCGAGCGUUGUCCGGAUUUAUUGGGCGUAAAGCGAGCGCAGGCGGUUCUUUAAGUCUGAAGUUAAAGGCAGUGGCUUAACCAUUGUACGCUUUGGAAACUGGAGGACUUGAGUGCAGAAGGGGAGAGUGGAAUUCCAUGUGUAGCGGUGAAAUGCGUAGAUAUAUGGAAGAACACCGGUGGCGAAAGCGGCUCUCUGGUCUGUAACUGACGCUGAGGCUCGAAAGAGUGGGGAGCAAACAGG